RNAcentral lists this small RNA (532 nucleotides) under Pan troglodytes (chimpanzee). RNAcentral's name for it is "processed transcript". The record is from RNAcentral. Lineage: Eukaryota; Metazoa; Chordata; Mammalia; Primates; Hominidae.
AUUCCGGAAGUUGCUCUCAGAGGCCGCGUGCGGUUGUUCGCUUUGUGAAAUUCCACCAUGGCGUACCGUGGCCAGGGCCAGAAAGUGCAGAAGGUUAUGGUGCAGCCCAUCGUAUCCUACGCGGGAUGUCAGGACUAGGAGCCACUGUGGUGCAGAACCUCAUCUUCAGAUACUUACAAAAUAGAUCGCGGAUUCAGGUGUGGCUCUAUGAGCAAGUGAAUAUGCGGAUAGAAGGCUGUAUCAUUGGUUUUGAUGAGUAUAUGAACCUUGUAUUAGAUGAUGCAGAAGAGAUUCAUUCUAAAACAAAGUCAAGAAAACAACUGGGUCGGAUCAUGCUAAAAGGAGAUAAUAUUACUCUGCUACAAAGUGUCUCCAACUAGAAAUGAUCAAUGAAGUGAGAAAUUGUUGAGAAGGAUACAGUUUGUUUUUAGAUGUCCUUUGUCCAGUGUGAACAUUUAUUCAUAUUGUUUUGAUUACCCUUGUGUUACUACAAGAUGGCAAUAAAUACUAUGGGAUUGUUUGUAUUAAAAAA